Molecule: ribosomal RNA, 467 nt
Filed under: uncultured bacterium
Lineage: Bacteria
Description: partial 16S ribosomal RNA
Rfam family: Bacterial small subunit ribosomal RNA
Source: RNAcentral
GACGAACGCUGGCGGCGUGCUUAACACAUGCAAGUCGAACGGAAAGGCCCCAGCUUGCUGGAGUACUCGAGUGGCGAACGGGUGAGUAACACGUGGGUAAUCUGCCCUGCACUCUGGGAUAGGUCUGGGAAACUGGGUCUAAUACUGGAUAUGACCUUUCUCUUUAUAGGGUUUGGUGGAAAGUUUUUCGGUGUAGGAUGGGCCCGCGGCCUAUCAGCUUGUUGGUGGGGUGAUGGCCUACCAAGGCGACGACGGGUAGCCGGCCUGAGAGGGUGAUCGGCCACAUUGGGACUGAGAUACGGCCCAGACUCCUACGGGAGGCAGCAGUGGGGAAUAUUGCACAAUGGGCGGAAGCCUGAUGCAGCGACGCCGCGUGAGGGAUGACGGCCUUCGGGUUGUAAACCUCUUUCAGCAGUGACGAAGCGUAAGUGACGGUACCUGCAGAAGAAGCACCGGCUAACUAUGUG